This 66-nucleotide transfer RNA is filed under the name Cucujus haematodes. Its description in RNAcentral is "tRNA-Gly". Lineage: Eukaryota; Metazoa; Arthropoda; Insecta; Coleoptera; Cucujidae. The record is from RNAcentral.
AUUUAUAUAAUAUAAAUUCAUUAUAUUUGACUUCCAAUCAAAAAAUCUAACUAUUUAGUAUAAAUA